CGCUCGGGGUAAACAAGGUGAAGCGGCUUGGGGCUGUUCAGCAGUCGGAUUCUGCCUCUCGGGGGGUUGCCCUUGCGGUUGGGGGUGAGGUGUUAACUAAUUAAUUGUAAUUAAUAAUAACUUCCAAACUCGAGAUGGAAUCAACCUUCCUAAAAGAAGAGUGCGGCCGUUGUAUGCGGAUGCCGGCAUCUGCUUUUGCGUAUAUGGACACUGUGUGGACAGGAGCCAACCCUUCCCCCCAGGCUGACAGCAGUCUUUCUUCCAUUGAUGUCAAUGAGCUUAGAUCAGAGCACAAGUCUUGUGAGUGAUCAAAGACAGUUCUACAUAAAAAAAGACUUCGUUUUCCAGGUGUUCAGGAAGGGUAAGCAGCUGGCACCACAGGGUAAUGCCUGAACCAACCUCCAGGGCAGCAUAUGGAUUCAUCCUCUCAACAGGACAGAGAAGGAGCUCUGAAGAGAGAUCUCAGUCUUCUUAUUGGCCUUUUGGAGCUUCAGAGAUAGACUUGACUCCUUCUCUUCUCUUGAAGAAAGUUGAAGUGUGUUACUGAGGUACGUGAAGUUGCCUGAGUCACCUUGGGCUUCAUCAGUAGCCAACAAUGGUGUUCACUGCAGGUAAGCCAAAUCUUAGGUGUGUUAAAAUGAAGUUCUCAGUCUCUUUCCAUCAGCCAUAAGAGAAAAUUCUCCAUUCUUAAGCGUUCAACUGGGAAAUUUACAGCAAGAUGGGAUAGAUCCAGACUUCAGUAUGUAGGCUUUUUUGGUGAAUUGUAGACUGUGCAAUUUUACAAGCACAGGG
Molecule: long non-coding RNA, 792 nt
Organism: Gallus gallus (chicken)
Lineage: Eukaryota; Metazoa; Chordata; Aves; Galliformes; Phasianidae
Source: Ensembl